This is an RNA transcript of Orcinus orca (killer whale), 6173 nucleotides long. It is a transcript of the gene named interleukin 18 binding protein, with no coding region annotated. The transcript is spliced from 7 exons. The record is from RefSeq and is a predicted model, not a curated record. NCBI's taxonomy places the organism in Eukaryota, Metazoa, Chordata, Mammalia, Artiodactyla, Delphinidae.
GCCGGGCUUUCGUCCUGUAGCAGAAGGUGCCCUGCGCCAUCGCUGGGUGACUGUCCUCACCACCUGAGGUCAGUGCCCUGCCACCACCACCCCUCUCGCGGAUCACUCUCAGCUUUGGCUUCUCUUACCCAGCCGUGGCUUCCGAGGUCUGCAUGCCAGUGGGCUCAUCCUCAGAGAGUGGAAUGGCGGCAGGGAGCAUCACUUUUGUCCCCGUACCCCUGCAUCAGGCUCAUGUGAGAACCGAGGCCAGGCUGUCCAAGGCUGUCUCUUCAUACUUCAACAGUCCUGAGUCCCAUGACCUCCCAGCAGCCCGACUCUGGCCUUGGUUACACUCACAGGUAGAGUCCUGCCUCCUCUCCCUCGCAUCCCCACCCCCUUCCCCAAAGGACUGUGUCUCUGAAGUCCUGGGCAGCUUUGCCUCCUGACCUAACUGCUGGAGACACUGGUGUUCCUAGGGAGGAGUUACUCUGCAUCUAACAGCACAGAAGCUCCUGGGGCAGGCGGUGGGGGAGGAACUGAGAAGAUGAAAAUGUCAGCUAGAGCCCUGGAGAAGAGGAGUUGACUUUUAGUCUCCACGUCUAAUUGGGAAUGAGUCGGGUUUUUAUACAUACACACGCACAUGCAUAUGACACGCACACAAAACCCUUGGGAUUGCAGCAGUGUUCGGACACGUCUUCCAAACCUAAUUCCACCUCCUGGCCUCCCUGGUUCUGUCCCCAGCAUCCCAUCCUCCUGAUCCCAGACACUUGGGUCUGGUCCUUCACAGUUGCUCGAGCCAGUGCUGGGUACGUGCCCUCUUACCCUGGGAAGCACCCUCUCCUCCUCUUAGGUCCAGUGCUCCAGCUUGUGUUCCAAGUGCUCGGCUUGUCUGAGAGGUUCCUGCCCACAAGGCCUGGAGGUGCUCUCAGUGUAGCUCCCAUGGUGUGGCUCACGUGGGGCCAGACGCAGCUGAGCUGAGCUGUGGAGCUCCAAAAACGGGGGGUUCCGGAAAGGAGGGUUUUUCAGGGCUUCCUGUGAACCAGGUAGGGGGAAUCUAGACUUCCUGGUGAACUUAGAUCUGUAGCUCUGGCCAAGGGGCUGGGAGGACAGAAGUGAGAAGGAUUCAUGGGAGUGAUGGGUGGUCGUUGGGUUGCUGGUUGGAGGGAGGUGGGGAGCCUGAGAAAGGCCAGAAUGUGGAUGGGCUGGUGUGACAUGGAGUCUGAAAUGGUCAGAGUGAUCCAGCUUGGGGUCUCCAGUGAUUAGGAGAGUUGUCCCUUUGAAUAUGGUGUGGCUGUGAAGGAAGAAGCAGGAGGCCUGUUCACAUAGAAGAGCAAAGGUGGACACCGAAGUCCUGACCGUUGGCUGGGAUGGAAGAAUUCAUGUGUGAGAGACUCUUUCAUUGGUUCAUGCCCUGUGUGCCCCUGGGAGGGUGGGCCUGAGGAAGGUUAAAGACCCCAGACUGAUACCAUCUGGAAAGCGGGGGGCCUGGGAGUUAGCAAGAAGGUUCCUGGCCAGUUCCUGGCCACUGUGAACUCCGGCUCAGGAAGAGAGGCGCAGUGUGCAGGAACCUUAAGGACUGGGCUCAGACUGCUGUCAUGUAUGUGUGCCUUCUCUUGGUAGCCAGAGUCCGCUCUAGAUUCCCUGGUUAAAUAAAAGUGAAAGUGAAAUAGAAGGGAGAGUUCAGUGCUUUCGCAGAAGGAUUUCACUGUAUAUCCUGCCCUUCCCAGAACCAGCUCUGGCAGUGGAGAGAACUUUACCUCCCUUUGUGACUAGGUAAGUCCCUGGUCCUCUUUGGGCCUCAGUUUCCAUGCCUGUAAUGAAGGGGUUAGAUUGGACUAGUAACCAGUAUAAUGUUGAUGGUAAUAAGAGCUAGGGUGGGGAUCCCCUGGCUUUGUUUUUAGGGGCUGGAAGAGCUCUAGCCUAUGCCCGAUGCCAGUCCUCCAGGAGUUGUCACAGGUGGACAGGACAGAGUAAAUAGCAGUGCCUGACAGCCCACUGAAAAACUAGAGGUAGGGAGGGGCUGUGGAGUCCACAGGAAGAAGGCCACAUGUAUGCCUGGGAUCUAAGCAAGCCACUCAGAAGACGUGGGAGAAGCAGUUUUUCACCAUCUCCUCCCCCGCCUCCCCCAGAGAGGAGGAAGUUGUCACAGAUAUAUAGAUCCAGGCGUGCCAGCUCCUGACACACGCAUCACGACCAUGAGACAGAACUGGAUUCCAGACCCCAGCCCUCUUUGGGCCCUGCUCCUCUGUGCCCACAUCGUCUCCCACCUGGCCAGAGCCACAUCUGUGCCUCAGGCCACUACAGCUGCCACUGCCUCAGCUGGGAUCGCAAAGGACACCUGCCCCUCCCGGCCCCCAGCGCUCCCGACAGCUAAGCAGUGCCCAGCAUUGGAGGUGACCUGGCCGGAAGUGGAAGUCUCACUGAAUGGAACGCUGACCUUGUCCUGUACUGCCUGCAGCCGCUUCCCCCACUUCAGCAUCCUUUACUGGCUGGGCAACAGCUCCUUCAUCGAGCACCUCCCGGGCCGGCUGCGGGAGGGCAGCACCAGGCGGGAGCACAGGGGCACGAGGACCCAGCUGUGGAGGGCCUUGGUGCUGGAGGAGCUGAGCCCCGCCCUGCGAGACACCAACUUCUCCUGUGUUUUCUCGGAUCCUGGGCAGACUGCCCAGCGUCACCUCGUCCUGGCCCAGCUCUGGAACGUGGCCUGUCUGAGGAGGGAGUGUGGGAAGAGGAGAGAGAAUGCCACUCAGAAGCUACAGACAAAACCAGAUUCAGGGGACACAGGCCCUCAGAAGAGAAGAGGCCGGCCCAUAAUGCUCCUCAGGAGCAGAGGCCAGAAAUGGAGUGUGGGAAGAUCCUGUGGCCUGAGAAAGGCCAGGAGAAGGGAUCUGAGAGAAGGGAACGGCCUGCUGCCCAGGCUGGUCAGCAGGACAUUGAGUGAUGUGACCCAACUCAAGUGCUGCCAGAGCCACCUGCCUGUGCUCGCCUCCAACCCCCACCUGCAGAGACAGAGACAGCACAGCUGACUCAGGAGCCGACACCCCACCACGUCCUACUGCCGCUGCUGCCGCUCCAGCCCCAACCUUCCCGGGCCAGACAGGACCAGGGGACCCAGUCUACCACUCCAGCAGACGUACUCAGUUGCAAAGAGGGCUUGUGAGAUAAGGAUGAGUCACGAAAAGAGGGCUGUAGAAGACUCCCAUUGAGACAGAGGACGGAGCCCCGGAGCAGGUUCCCGGAACAUUGUGAGAACACGGAGACUUGGAGGCUCUUCUGCGAAAGAGUGAAACCUCUCUCAUAAAGACACACAAUGACUGGAGAACGAGGUCAUCUGUUUUGCCUCUGGGGCCCACACUGGCCUAGACAUCCCAGUCCUGCGGUGCUUUCUGGUCACAGCUGUCAACAAGGAAACAAAUGCAGUCCCCACCCCAGCAUGCAGCUUCACUUGAGAGGCUGGAGAGGGAUGUGGCACAAACUCACAUGCUGUCAAUGAUCCUGAGGAAGACGCUGCAGUCCUGGAGUUGCAGCACGGCCUCCACGGGGUCAGCCACGUGCAGACUGUUCACCUGCGAGGCAAAGGGAAGAGCCUGGUGAAACCGUCAUAAGUGCCAGAAGCCCCGGGAGGGAGGGGGGCGGAGUUCCACUCCCUUCCCCAGGUGUUGACAAUUCUGUUUGUUCCAACUGCCUAUAGUUGUAACUAAAGGAAUGAGAGAACAGGUGAUUCUAGGACUUUUAACUUCCAGCUCAUCCACUAACAGCCACCUGAAUGCCGCCAUCACAGUCCUUCCUUUGGCUUCAACUAAAUAAGAGCUUAAAUUCUCCCAGAAUGUUCCAGCACUUGGGGUGUGCUUUAAAUAUAAUUAGGCAUAAAAUGGUUCUACAAGAAUACUGAUAGUUUCUAGAAGAAAAUCGAACCACCACUGCCUCGAAAGAGAGGAACUUGAUGGUUGGGAGCUGAGGUAGGAAAAAGGCUUUUUAUACUCUAGCGCUUUGUAUCUCUUGAAUGGUUACAUUAUAAACCUUCGUAGCUCAAAUUUUUACAGCUAAAAUUUACAGAAUGUUAUAGCUCUUCAAAUUUGAAUUUUGCGUCUACUCAAAAUUUACAUUAUAUACUACAUAUAUUUUAUAUACUCCCACACAGAUAUAAAAUCUUGUGAUUGAUGCAUUUUAAAAUUCUUUCCAGACAUGAAACUUCAGCUGAGGCAGGGAGAAAUGAUGAGCCAACAAGAUAAGAAGAAGAAGGGAGGAAGGGAAAGAAAAGCUAGGAACCCCAAAGAAAAACUUGUCAAUAUCCAAUGGCCUCUCCCUUUCCUUGCCUUCAGGCAGACAUUCAUCUAAAUCAGUCUUUCCCACUAGAAAGUUCACCAGCAGUCACAUGCAAAUGAAGCAGGUACACAGGUUAUUCAACAAGCAUAUAUGGCGGACUUCUACAGGAAAACCUCAUAAAUUCCACAGGUACCAAGUUCAGAAGCCCGAGCUGAAGUUCACCUUUGUAGUACCUUAUUAAGAAGGAAGGGUCUGCUAAGUCAAUCAAUCACAUAUGCAAGACUGAGGGAGAAGGGAGACUUAUCCUGCUUUACAAGUUAUUUUUUAAAACUUCAGCAUAGUGGUUAUGCACAAACGAGUAGAUUCUAUUUAUAAAUGUGCUCUUUAUUUUUUUAAUUGAAGUAUAGCUGAUUUACAAUAACCUCUUAGUUUCAUAGUGAUUCAGUAUUUUUGCAGAUUAUCCUCCAUUAUAGGUUAUUACAAGAUAAUGGGUAUAAUUCCCUGUGCUAUACCGUAUACCCUUGUUGCUUAUCUAUUUAUGUGUAGUAGUUCUGUAUCUGUUAAUCCCUUACCCCUAAUGUGUCCCUCCCACUUAAAUGUGCUCUUCAACAGGCACUGGGCUGGGGGCUCCCAGACAAGGAUUUUUGAGUCCAGCUCCUCCACUAACUUGCCAGGAACCUUUGUUUAUCAACUUUGUUUCUUUCUGUGACUGUUUUCUCACUUGUCAAACUUAUCUACCUUAAAAGACCAGUGUGUGUUCAAAUGGGAUUGUGAAUGCAAGAACACAUUACGAAAUAAAAGUACUAAAUGCAAAGCACUAUUACGGUUAUGAAGUAGAUCCAGCAACACUUCUACUUCUUAACAGUUAAAUUAGCUGACUGCACUGGAGGAUCAAGAGGAUUAAAAAAAAAAAUCAGUGAUUCAGCUACAGAAAUGAUAGUACUUAUUUCCAUUAAAUAAUUUUAUAUUAGAAAAACUUCUAGAUAAAUCUAAAUUAAAAUAGGUUGAGGGACUUGCCUGGUGGCGCAGUGGUUAAGACUCUGCCUGCCAAAGCAGGGGACAUGGGUUCGAGCCCUGGUCCAGGAAGAUCCCACAUGCCGCGGAGCAACUAAGCCUGGGAGCCAGAACUACUGAGCCUGCACUCUAGACCUCGCAAGCCACAACUACUAAGCCCACGUGCCACAACUACUGAAGCCCGUGCACCACAACAAGAGAAGCCACCGCAAUGAGGAGCCCGUGCACCGCAAAGAAGAGUAGCCCCUGCUCGCUGCAACUAGAGAAAGCCUGCACGCAGCAACGAAGACCCAACGCAGCCAAAAAUAAAUAAAUUUACUAAAAAUUUUUUUUAAAAAAUAGGUUGAAAGUAAAAAAAAAAAUUUAAGUGCAGAAUAUAAAAUACGACCUUCUCACUGGACUCUUAAAGAUAAUAAUUUAUACCACCUUUGGGGGGGGUGCUUAAUCUAAUUAGAAAAGGCCAGUGUAAAUUUUCUAGGAAGACUGAAUAUUCCAGGCCAAGGUCCCUUUCCACCUGCUGAAAAUGAAGAGACUGCAUGACUUAAGCAUACAAAAACCAUCUUCUUUUAAUAUCUGCAAUCUAGGUAAAACAUUCAAGGGCUGUGAAUGCUCGUUCGCUAACAAGAUUGAAAAAAAUCGUACCAGUUAGCUGAUUUAAAGUCACUUAAGGAAUCUGGAUUCAUCUCAUACCAAUUAAGUAAUAAUCCAGCAAUAGUUUCUUUCAUGGAUAUAAAAAUGUAUUUUCUUCCUGUGCAUUAUUUUGCUCUCAAAUGAUAAAUCAUUUAAAAGCUGAAGAAGUGAAGAAGCUCCUUUAUCUCUAGUCAGGGUAUAAAACGUGAGAGAGGACCAAGCUCACUGAAUAAGUGCCUGUAAGGCUUUCCGGGUCAUUUAAGGUGCCUGAAUCUUUUUUUUUU